GUGGAAAUGAAACUCCUGGCUGGAAAAAGCAAGACCCUCAAGGGCUUGCUGGCCUCCCACCCCCCGUCCCAGAACCUGCGUGUGAGGGCAGCGGCUGGGACUCCCACUCAGGGCAGCAACUUCCUUCCUCUUCCCCGGCGACGGAGCCUGCGUCUGUGGUCUCCGUGGCUACCUGCCUCACAGCUGCCGCCCUGGCCCACCCGGCGUGCCAGCCGCUGACCUGCGCGAGCGUCCCCCCGGGAACCUCCCUCUGCCAGCCCGAGAUUUCGGCGUGAUAUGCGGACAACACAACAAUCGCCAAAGCCUCUGUCGAGGAUCUUUUCCCUCCGUUUUCCUCUGGGAGUUUUGUGGUUUCAGGUUUUACAUUUAGGCCUUUAAUCCACUUUGCAUUGGUCUUUGUGCCUGGUGUGAGAUAAGGGUCAGAUUUCACGCCUUUGCAGUGGAAAUCCGUGUUCCCUGCACCGUGGUGGCCUCUUGGUGCCCCGCCGAAAGUUAGCGGGCUGCGUACGUCUGGAUUCUCCUCUGGGGUCUGCAUUCCCUUCCCUGGGCCGUCUGUCCGUGCUUAUGCGAGUACCGUGUAGUUUUCAUGACUGCAGCUUUACAGUAUGAUUUCAGAUCAGGAGGUGUGGGGCCUACCACUUUUUCUUUCUCAGAAUUGUUUUGGCUAUUGGGAGUCUUUCCUGGUUCCAUGCAAAUUUUAGGGUUUAUUUGUUUCUAUUUCUGUAAAGAAUGCCAUUGGGAUUUCGAAAGGGAUCAGGUGGAAUCCACAGAUCACUUCGGGAAGUUU
Molecule: non-coding RNA, 787 nt
Organism: Microcebus murinus (gray mouse lemur)
Lineage: Eukaryota; Metazoa; Chordata; Mammalia; Primates; Cheirogaleidae
Source: RefSeq, a predicted model, not a curated record